UUCCUUCCCAUGCUUUCAUCACAUAGUGAUUUUAGUUGGCAUGUCUCAGUUUGGGAGGUAUUGAAAAACAGCUGUCAGUCAAUGCAGUCAUCAGUCACAGCCAGCACGACUUCAUGAGGGGGAAGUCCUGUUUGUUGAACCUAAUUUCUUUCUAUGACAGGGUAACACAUCUAACUGAUCAAGGGAAGCCAGUAGAUAUAAUAAUUUUGGAUUUCAGUGAAGAUUUUUAUGUGUCCCUCUGCAUAUCCCUGUGGACAAAAUCUCUAGCACAAAAGCUGGAAAAACACAUCAUGAAGUGGGUGAACAACUGGGCCACAGGUUGGGCACAAAUAGUUAUAGUGAAUGGGGUGACAUCAGGCUGGUGUUUGGUCACUAGUGUGGUUCUGCAGGGCUCCAUCCUUGGCCCAGUUCUCUCCAAUGUCUUCACGAAUUCUAUGGAUGAAGGACUCAAAGGAAUACUAAGUAAAUCUGCUGAUGACAUCAAGUUGGGAGGAGCUUUUGACUCCCUUAAAGGCAGGAAGACCCUGUAGAGAGACCUCGACAAAUUAGAGAGGGGUCAGUAACCAGAACUCAGUCAUAUUCUUUUCUCAUCAUAUCUGGCCAAAAUUACAGAAACGCUGCCCAACCAGAGCUGAGCCUUCAGAGGAAGCAACAGAGAAAAUCCAGGUGGAAAUAGCAGUGGCCAGCUAUUAUCGUAGCUGAUGUGACAUUUUUUGAUACACUAGCUGAAUUAAAAAAUGAGAUGAGAAGGAAGAGAAGCCAAAUGGAAUAACCAAAAUAACGUAUGAAUCUAGUGGUAGAGGUGGAAAAUCCAAUCUCCAAAUUCUAGCCUGAAAUUGUACCUUUCAAAGUUAAGCACAUCUUAAGAAGUGCUGUACAAAAGAAUUGCUUAACUGGUAUUUCAGAAAUUAGAGAUAUAUAUAAAUGUAGUAGGAACACAGUGUCCUCUCCUUUUUUAAAAGUUAAACACAUCGAGACAGAGAUUAGAAAUGUCACAUCAAAAUGGACACUAAUUAGCAGUCUUAUUGGCAGUCUUACCAGAGGGGUCAAGAACAGAAUUUAAAACUGCUCUGAAAAUAAAGUGACUGUCCAGCAAAACCUGGUAUUUCAGUAUCUCUGUUUGGAAGCACAAGGAAAAGUCAAAGUAAUGAACAUAUUACAGAAUGAAAACUUCUGAAAUCUGUCUUUUUGGAGAGGUCACAAUGCAAAAUUCACUAUUUUUAAUACAAAUGCUACAGCUUGUUGAUCAUUUUCACUUAAUAAAAUUGCCAAUUAAAAGAGUAUGUUCCAUUAUCUUUCACAAUCUUCCUUUCCUAGGCCACCAAAUCAACAGUUUAAAAGGAGAAGAAGGAAAUUACACUGACGACGUCUGCUAAAAAAAAUAAAAAAAUAAAGAGAGAAA
Long non-coding RNA from Pseudopipra pipra, 1402 nucleotides. RefSeq lists it as uncharacterized. Lineage: Eukaryota; Metazoa; Chordata; Aves; Passeriformes; Pipridae. The transcript has 2 exons. The record is from RefSeq and is a predicted model, not a curated record.